GACUGACAUCAGCGACUCGUUCUGCGAACCGUGACCGACGGCGAGAUAAGAGUGCAUACCCAGCUCUUUCAUCUGCUGCUCGCCGAUCACGCGGGUCACAACAUUUUUGCUGUAGCUGUCUGCCAGCUGACGCGCCUGAGAGGCCAGAUAAGCUGCGUUACAGAUGUUCGGCGGCAUGUUGCCGAGAUCUUUCGC
This is a non-coding RNA of Escherichia coli ISC11, 195 nucleotides long. The record is from Rfam. Lineage: Bacteria; Pseudomonadati; Pseudomonadota; Gammaproteobacteria; Enterobacterales; Enterobacteriaceae.